This 305-nucleotide ribosomal RNA is filed under the name uncultured bacterium. RNAcentral describes it as "bacterial SSU rRNA". It matches the Rfam family "Bacterial small subunit ribosomal RNA", at positions 333 to 637 of the family's 1533-position model. The record is from RNAcentral.
UUGGUCCUACGGGACGCAGCAGUGGGGAAUAUUGCACAAUGGGCGCAAGCCUGAUGCAGCGACGCCGCGUGCGGGAUGGAGGCGUUCGGGUUGUAAACCGCUUUUGUUCAAGGGCAAGGCACGGUCUUUGGCCGUGUUGAGUGGAUUGUUCGAAUAAGCACCGGCUAACUACGUGCCAGCAGCCGCGGUAAUACGUAGGGUGCAAGCGUUAUCCGGAUUUAUUGGGCGUAAAGGGCUCGUAGUCGGUUCGUCGCGUCCGGUGUGAAAGUCCAUCGCUUAACGGUGGAUCCGCGCCGGGUACGGGG